This 480-nucleotide ribosomal RNA is filed under the name uncultured bacterium. RNAcentral describes it as "bacterial SSU rRNA". It matches the Rfam family "Bacterial small subunit ribosomal RNA", at positions 903 to 1397 of the family's 1533-position model. The record is from RNAcentral.
AAAGGAAUAGACGGGGACCCACACAAGCGGUGGAGCACCUGGUUUAAUUCGAUAGUGAGCGAGGAACCUUACCUAGGCUUGACAUCCCGAGAAUCUGCUGGAAACAGUGGAGUGCCUUUUGGAACUCGGAGACAAGCGCUGCAUGGUUGUCGUCAGCUCGUGCCUUGAGGUGUUCGGUUAAGUCCGUAAACGAGCGCAACCCUUGUGCUAUGUUGUAUUUUUCAUAGCAGACUGCCGAUUCUAAAUCGGAGGAAGGUAAGGAUGACGUCAAAUCAGCACGGCCCUUAUGCCUAGGGCUACACAGGUGCUACAAUGGUCGGUACAGUGGGCAGCAAUGGAGCGAUCCGGAGCCAAUCCCUAAAACCGAUCUCAGUUCGGAUUGAAGGCUGCAACUCGCCUUCAUGAAGUUGGAAUCGCUAGUAACCGCGUAUCAGCAAUGUCGCGGUGAAUAUGUUCCUGGGUCUUGUACACACCGCCCGU